CCUACGGGUGGCAGCAGUGGGGAAUAUUGCGCAAUGGGCGAAAGCCUGAUGCAGCAACGCCGCGUGAAUGCAGAAGGCUUUCGGGUUGUAAACUUCUUUUGUCAGGGACGAAGCAAGUGCCGGUACGUGACGAAUAAGUCACGGCUAACUACGUGCCAGCAGCCGCGGUAAUAAGUAGGUGGCAAGCGUUAUCCGGAUGUAUUGGGUGUAAAGGGCGUGUAGGCGGGAAUGCAAGUCAGAUGUGAAAACUAUGGGCUCAACCCAUAGCCUGCAUUUGAAACUGUAGUUCUUGAGUGUUGGAGAGGCAAUCGGAAUUCCGGGUGUAGCGGUGAAAUGCGUAGAGAUACGGAGGAACACCAGUGGCGAAGGCGGAUUGCUGGACAGUAACUGACGCUGAGGCGCGAAAGCGUGGGGAGCAAACAGGAUUAGAUACCCUUGUAGUC
Molecule: ribosomal RNA, 443 nt
Filed under: uncultured bacterium
Lineage: Bacteria
Description: partial 16S ribosomal RNA
Rfam family: Bacterial small subunit ribosomal RNA
Source: RNAcentral